AUACUUACCUGGCAGGGGAAAUGCUAUGAUCACAAAGGUGGUUUUCCCAAGGCGAGGCUUAUCCAUUGCACUACGGAUGUGCUGACCCGUGUGAUUUCCCAAAUGUGGGAAACUCGACUGAGUAAUUUGCGGUAGUGGGGACUGUGUUCGUACUCUCCCCUG
This 162-nucleotide small nuclear RNA is filed under the name Castor canadensis (American beaver). RNAcentral's name for it is "U1 spliceosomal RNA (ENSCCNG00000024065.1)". It matches the Rfam family "U1 spliceosomal RNA". Rfam says of the family: U1 is a small nuclear RNA (snRNA) component of the spliceosome (involved in pre-mRNA splicing). Its 5' end forms complementary base pairs with the 5' splice junction, thus defining the 5' donor site of an intron. There are significant differences in sequence and secondary structure between metazoan and yeast U1 snRNAs, the latter being much longer (568 nucleotides as compared to 164 nucleotides in human). The record is from Rfam by way of RNAcentral. Lineage: Eukaryota; Metazoa; Chordata; Mammalia; Rodentia; Castoridae.